Danio rerio (zebrafish) is the source of this 54-nucleotide non-coding RNA. The record is from Rfam. NCBI's taxonomy places the organism in Eukaryota, Metazoa, Chordata, Actinopteri, Cypriniformes, Danionidae.
AUAUAAUGUAUUUGUAAGUCGCUUUGAACAAAAGCGUCUGCUAAAUGACUAAAU